This 869-nucleotide ribosomal RNA is filed under the name Exserohilum neoregeliae. RNAcentral describes it as "eukaryotic LSU rRNA". It matches the Rfam family "Eukaryotic large subunit ribosomal RNA", at positions 64 to 951 of the family's 3401-position model. Lineage: Eukaryota; Fungi; Ascomycota; Dothideomycetes; Pleosporales; Pleosporaceae. The record is from RNAcentral.
ACCAACAGGGAUUGCCCUAGUAACGGCGAGUGAAGCGGCAACAGCUCAAAUUUGAAAUCUGGCUCUUUCAGAGUCCGAGUUGUAAUUUGUAGAGGGCGCUUUGGCUUUGGCAGCGGUCCAAGUUCCUUGGAACAGGACGUCACAGAGGGUGAGAAUCCCGUACGUGGUCGCUAGCUAUUGCCGUGUAAAGCCCCUUCGACGAGUCGAGUUGUUUGGGAAUGCAGCUCUAAAUGGGAGGUAAAUUUCUUCUAAAGCUAAAUAUUGGCCAGAGACCGAUAGCGCACAAGUAGAGUGAUCGAAAGAUGAAAAGCACUUUGGAAAGAGAGUCAAACAGCACGUGAAAUUGUUGAAAGGGAAGCGCUUGCAGCCAGACUUGCUUGCAGUUGCUCAUCCGGGCUCUUGCCCGGUGCACUCUUCUGCAGGCAGGCCAGCAUCAGUUUGGGCGGUGGGAUAAAGGUCUCUGUCAUGUACCUCUCUUCGGGGAGGCCUUAUAGGGGAGGCGACAUACCACCAGCCUAGACUGAGGUCCGCGCAUCUGCUAGGAUGCUGGCGUAAUGGCUGUAAGCGGCCCGUCUUGAAACACGGACCAAGGAGUCUAACAUCUAUGCGAGUGUUUGGGUGUCAAGCCCGAGCGCGUAAUGAAAGUGAACGGAGGUGGGAACCCGCAAGGGCGCACCAUCGACCGAUCCUGAAGUUUACGGAAGGAUUUGAGUAAGAGCAUGGCUGUUGGGACCCGAAAGAUGGUGAACUAUGCUUGAAUAGGGUGAAGCCAGAGGAAACUCUGGUGGAGGCUCGCAGCGGUUCUGACGUGCAAAUCGAUCGUCAAAUUUGGGCAUAGGGGCGAAAGACUAAUCGAUCAAGAAAUAAAC